AGGUUGCUUCGGUAACUGACCUAGCGGCGGACGGGUGAGUAAUGCUUAGGAAUCUGCCUAUUAGUGGGGGACAACAUUCCGAAAGGAAUGCUAAUACCGCAUACGUCCUACGGGGGAAAGCAGGGGAUCUUCGGACCUUGCGCUAAUAGAUGAGCCUAAGUCGGAUUAGCUAGUUGGUGGGGUAAAGGCCCACCAAGGCGACGAUCUGUAGCGGGUCUGAGAGGAUGAUCCGCCACACUGGGACUGAGACACGGCCCAGACUCCUACGGGAGGCAGCAGUGGGGAAUAUUGGACAAUGGGCGGAAGCCUGAUCCAGCCAUGCCGCGUGUGUGAAGAAGGCCUUUUGGUUGUAAAGCACUUUAAGCGAGGAGGAGGCUCCUUUAGUUAAUACCUAAAGUGAGUGGACGUUACUCGCAGAAUAAGCACCGGCUAACUCUGUGCCAGCAGCCGCGGUAAUACAGAGGGUGCGAGCGUUAAUCGGAUUUACUGGGCGUAAAGCGUGCGUAGGCGGCUUUUUAAGUCGGAUGUGAAAUCCCUGAGCUUAACUUAGGAAUUGCAUUCGAUACUGGAAAGCUAGAGUAUGGGAGAGGAUGGUAGAAUUCCAGGUGUAGCGGUGAAAUGCGUAGAGAUCUGGAGGAAUACCGAUGGCGAAGGCAGCCAUCUGGCCUAAUACUGACGCUGAGGUACGAAAGCAUGGGGAGCAAACAGGAUUAGAUACCCUGGUAGUCCAUGCCGUAAACGAUGUCUACUAGCCGUUGGGGCCUUUGAGGCUUUAGUGGCGCAGCU
Molecule: ribosomal RNA, 786 nt
Filed under: uncultured bacterium
Lineage: Bacteria
Description: SSU rRNA
Rfam family: Bacterial small subunit ribosomal RNA
Source: RNAcentral